Molecule: small nucleolar RNA, 58 nt
Filed under: Otolemur garnettii (small-eared galago)
Lineage: Eukaryota; Metazoa; Chordata; Mammalia; Primates; Galagidae
Description: Small nucleolar RNA SNORD74 (ENSOGAG00000023517.1)
Source: RNAcentral
AAGCCUUGGUUGGUAGAGACAUCUGAGAGUGCUGGAGAGUGCCAACGAGUCUAUGGAA